Drosophila sechellia is the source of this 68-nucleotide microRNA precursor. It matches the Rfam family "mir-8/mir-141/mir-200 microRNA precursor family". From Rfam's summary of the family: The bounds of the precursors are predicted based on conservation and base pairing and are not generally known. Lineage: Eukaryota; Metazoa; Arthropoda; Insecta; Diptera; Drosophilidae. The record is from Rfam.
GUUCACAUCUUACCGGGCAGCAUUAGAUCCUUUUUAAAACUCUAAUACUGUCAGGUAAAGAUGUCGUC